This 497-nucleotide ribosomal RNA is filed under the name uncultured bacterium. RNAcentral describes it as "bacterial SSU rRNA". It matches the Rfam family "Bacterial small subunit ribosomal RNA", at positions 30 to 518 of the family's 1533-position model. The record is from RNAcentral.
AUUGAACGCUGGCGGCGUGCCUAACACAUGCAAGUCGAGCGGUAACAGGUGUAGCAAUACAUGCUGACGAGCGGCGAACGGGUGAGUAAUGCUUCGGAAUCUACCCAAUGGUGGGGAAUAACCAGCCGAAAGGUUGGCUAAUACCGCAUACGUCCCACGGGAGAAAGCAGGGGAUCGCAAGACCUUGCGCCAAUGGAUGAGCCGAAGUCGGAUUAGCUAGUUGGAGGGUAACGGCCUACCAAGGCGACGAUCCGUAGCUGGUCUGAGAGGACGACCAGCCACACUGGGACUGAGACACGGCCCAGACUCCUACGGGAGGCAGCAGUGGGGAAUAUUGGACAAUGGGAGAAACCCUGAUCCAGCGACGCCGCGUGUGUGAAGAAGGCCUGCGGGUUGUAAAGCACUUUUAGUGGGGAUGAAAUGUUCAGGGUUAACACCUCUGGAUUUUGACCUAACCCACAAGAAAAAGCACCGGCUAACUCUGUGCCAGCCGCCGC